This 586-nucleotide ribosomal RNA is filed under the name uncultured bacterium. RNAcentral describes it as "partial 16S ribosomal RNA". It matches the Rfam family "Bacterial small subunit ribosomal RNA", at positions 355 to 1375 of the family's 1533-position model. The record is from RNAcentral.
UGGGGAAUUUUGGACAAUGGGCGAAAGCCUGAUCCAGCAAUGCCGCGUGUGUGAAGAAGGCCUUCGGGUUGUAAAGCACUUUUGUCCGGAAAGAAAUCCUCUGGGUUAAUACCUCGGGGGGAUGACGGUACCGGAAGAAUAAGCACCGGCUAACUACGUGCCAGCAGCCGCGGUAAUACGUAGGGUGCAAGCGUUAAUCGGAAUUACUGGGCGUAAAGCGUGCGCAGGCGGUUUUGUAAGACGGAUGUGAAAUCCCCGGGCUUAACCUGGGAACUGCAUUCGUGACUGCAAGGCUAGAGUAUGGCAGAGGGGGGUAGAAUUCCACGUGUAGCAGUGAAAUGCGUAGAGAUGUGGAGGAAUACCGAUGGCGAAGGCAGCCCCCUGGGCCAAUACUGACGCUCAUGCACGAAAGCGUGGGGGAGCAAACAGGACUAGAUACCCUGGUAGUCCACGCCCUAAACGAUGUCAACUAGUUGUUGGGGAUUCAUUUCCUUAGUAACGUAGCUAACGCGUGAAGUUGACCGCCUGGGGAGUACGGUCGCAAGAUUAAAACUCAAAUGAAUUGACGGGGUCAUAGCUGUUUCCU